CUGCUGCCUCCCGUAGGAGUUUGGUCCGUGUCUCAGUACCAAUGUGGGGGGUUGACCUCUCAGUCCCCCUAUGUAUCGUCGCCUUGGUGAGCCGUUACCUCACCAACUAGUUAAUACAACGCAUGUCCAUCUCUGACCACCUGAGUUUUCAACCACCGAAGAUGCCUCCGGUGAUGUUAUGGGGUAUUAGUACCAAUUUCUCGAUGUUAUCCCCCUGUCAAAGGUAGGUUACAUACGCGUUACGCACCCGUCCGCCGGUCGCCGGCA
This 267-nucleotide ribosomal RNA is filed under the name uncultured bacterium. RNAcentral's name for it is "partial 16S ribosomal RNA". The record is from RNAcentral.